RNAcentral lists this long non-coding RNA (310 nucleotides) under Rattus norvegicus (Norway rat). RNAcentral describes it as "long non-coding RNA NONRATT011597". The record is from RNAcentral. Lineage: Eukaryota; Metazoa; Chordata; Mammalia; Rodentia; Muridae.
GGGUGGAGAACGGUUUUAGUUAAAGGUCUCUGUGUUGGUUGGUUGAAACAAACAAAAAAAAAAAUGGCCUUCUACAGUUAUAAUUCAUUCUUAGCUAUUUUCUGGACAAGAUUGCCUGGCCAUUCCGUGCACCCUCCCUGCUCUCACUUCCCUCCACUUGCAUUUUUCCACUUGCCAGAUUCUCAUUUGCGUACAGCCUAUAUGAAAAACUGUGGAAGCAGGAAGUACUCCUACCCUGGGCUCACAGGCAACAAUAAAGUCCAUCCCUUACGAACCAGACUCCCCCAAAAACUGCACACGACUUGCUGGC